AGAGUUUGAUCAUGGCUCAGAUUGAACGCUGGCGGCAGGCCUAACACAUGCAAGUCGAGCGGUAGCACAGAGAGCUUGCUCUCGGGUGACGAGCGGCGGACGGGUGAGUAAUGUCUGGGAAACUGCCUGAUGGAGGGGGAUAACUACUGGAAACGGUAGCUAAUACCGCAUAAUGUCGCAAGACCAAAGUGGGGGACCUUCGGGCCUCAUGCCAUCAGAUGUGCCCAGAUGGGAUUAGCUAGUAGGUGGGGUAACGGCUCACCUAGGCGACGAUCCCUAGCUGGUCUGAGAGGAUGACCAGCCACACUGGAACUGAGACACGGUCCAGACUCCUACGGGAGGCAGCAGUGGGGAAUAUUGCACAAUGGGCGCAAGCCUGAUGCAGCCAUGCCGCGUGUGUGAAGAAGGCCUUCGGGUUGUAAAGCACUUUCAGCGGGGAGGAAGGCGAUAAGGUUAAUAACCUUGUCGAUUGACGUUACCCGCAGAAGAAGCACCGGCUAACUCCGUGCCAGCAGCCGCGGUAAUACGGAGGGUGCAAGCGUUAAUCGGAAUUACUGGGCGUAAAGCGCACGCAGGCGGUCUGUCAAGUCGGAUGUGAAAUCCCCGGGCUCAACCUGGGAACUGCAUUCGAAACUGGCAGGCUAGAGUCUUGUAGAGGGGGUAGAAUUCCAGGUGUAGCGGUGAAAUGCGUAGAGAUCUGGAGGAAUACCGGUGGCGAAGGCGGCCCCCUGGACAAAGACUGACGCUCAGGUGCGAAAGCGUGGGGAGCAAACAGGAUUAGAUACCCUGGUAGUCCACGCCGUAAACGAUGUCGAUUUGGAGGUUGUGCCCUUGAGGCGUGGCUUCCGGAGCUAACGCGUUAAAUCGACCGCCUGGGGAGUACGGCCGCAAGGUUAAAACUCAAAUGAAUUGACGGGGGCCCGCACAAGCGGUGGAGCAUGUGGUUUAAUUCGAUGCAACGCGAAGAACCUUACCUGGUCUUGACAUCCACAGAACUUUCCAGAGAUGGAUUGGUGCCUUCGGGAACUGUGAGACAGGUGCUGCAUGGCUGUCGUCAGCUCGUGUUGUGAAAUGUUGGGUUAAGUCCCGCAACGAGCGCAACCCUUAUCCUUUGUUGCCAGCGGUUAGGCCGGGAACUCAAAGGAGACUGCCAGUGAUAAACUGGAGGAAGGUGGGGAUGACGUCAAGUCAUCAUGGCCCUUACGACCAGGGCUACACACGUGCUACAAUGGCAUAUACAAAGAGAAGCGACCUCGCGAGAGCAAGCGGACCUCAUAAAGUAUGUCGUAGUCCGGAUUGGAGUCUGCAACUCGACUCCAUGAAGUCGGAAUCGCUAGUAAUCGUAGAUCAGAAUGCUACGGUGAAUACGUUCCCGGGCCUUGUACACACCGCCCGUCACACCAUGGGAGUGGGUUGCAAAAGAAGUAGGUAGCUUAACCUUCGGGAGGGCGCUUACCACUUUGUGAUUCAUGACUGGGGUGAAGUCGUAACAAGGUAACCGUAGGGGAACCUGCGGUUGGAUCACCU
Molecule: ribosomal RNA, 1527 nt
Filed under: Klebsiella pneumoniae
Lineage: Bacteria; Pseudomonadati; Pseudomonadota; Gammaproteobacteria; Enterobacterales; Enterobacteriaceae
Description: bacterial SSU rRNA
Rfam family: Bacterial small subunit ribosomal RNA
Source: RNAcentral